UGCAAGUACGUUUAUCUUGUGGUAC
RNAcentral lists this non-coding RNA (25 nucleotides) under Rattus norvegicus (Norway rat). The record is from RNAcentral. Lineage: Eukaryota; Metazoa; Chordata; Mammalia; Rodentia; Muridae.